Molecule: ribosomal RNA, 523 nt
Filed under: uncultured bacterium
Lineage: Bacteria
Description: bacterial SSU rRNA
Rfam family: Bacterial small subunit ribosomal RNA
Source: RNAcentral
UCCUACGGGAGGCAGCAGUAGGGAAUUUUCGGCAAUGGAGGAAACUCUGACCGAGCAACGCCGCGUGAAUGACGAAGUACUUCGGUAUGUAAAGUUCUUUUAUCAAGGAAGAAUGACUCGUGGAAAAACGAGUGUGACGGUACUUGAUGAAUAAGCCCCGGCUAACUAUGUGCCAGCAGCCGCGGUAAUACAUAGGGGGCAAGCGUUAUCCGGAAUUAUUGGGCGUAAAGGGUGCGUAGGCGGUUAUUUAAGUCUUUGGUGUAAGUGCAAGGCUCAACCUUGUGAUGCUAAGGAAACUGGAUAACUUGAGUGUGAUAGAGGUAAGUGGAAUUCCAUGUGUAGCGGUAAAAUGCGUAAAUAUAUGGASGAACACCAGUGGCGAAGGCGGCUUACUGGGUCACAACUGACGCUGAGGCACGAAAGCGUGGGGAGCAAACAGGAUUAGAUACCCUGGUMGUCCACGCCGUAAACGAUGAGUACUAAGUGUUGGAGAAAUUCAGUGCCUGYAGUUAACGCAAUAAGU